Molecule: ribosomal RNA, 253 nt
Filed under: uncultured bacterium
Lineage: Bacteria
Description: partial 16S ribosomal RNA
Rfam family: Bacterial small subunit ribosomal RNA
Source: RNAcentral
UACGUAGGGGGCAAGCGUUGUCCGGAAUCAUUGGGCGUAAAGAGCGUGUAGGCGGCCUGGUAAGUCCGCUGCGAAAGUCCAGGGCUCAACCCUGGAAUGCCGGUGGAAACUGUCAGGCUCGAGUCCGGAAGAGGCGAGUGGAAUUCCUGGUGUAGCGGUGAAAUGCGCAGAUAUCAGGAGGAACACCAAUGGCGAAGGCAGCUCGCUGGGACGGUACUGACGCUGAGACGCGAAAGCGUGGGAAGCAAACAGG